AUGGGAUUCAGGCUCAGAAGCAAUAUCUGAUGUCUUAGCAGUGGGAUCUAUAGGCUCUCUGCUCUAUGUCACAAUGCUGGUGCCACAGCCUUUCUGGACCCAUAAUUGCCAAGACACCUUCCGUGUUAGCUAGCAAAGCUCUGAUUUCUGGUUGGCCAGGACCAUGGCAAGAGUAAUUCAAACACACCCAGGAAUGCAGAACAAACCUGACUCUGAAAAAUGAAAAUAUUCCAUGAAGACCUUCAAGAACUUGGGUCCAGGCUGCAAAACCCAGGACUUCUUCCCUCACCAACGUUCUAGGAAAAACACUGAGAGACAGUAGCCAUUUUUCCUGUAUGGAGACAUGCUGUGCUCUGUUAGCCCAGGAUGUCUCUGCCACACACCUGAGCCAUCCCUUUCCCACCAGAGUAUCAAAAGUCCUUACUAGUGUCCAUCUUCACCUUGAAAAAGAGAGAAUCUACAAAACAGAGCUACCUGCCUUGAAUUACUUUGAACACUUGUGAAUCCAGCCAAUUGGGAAGGAUAACUAAUGAAAUUUAUGAAAAAACAAUGUAUUUAAUGAUUUUUAUGAAAUUUAUGUAUUUAAUGAAAUAAAUCAACCUUGGUAGAAAA
This is a long non-coding RNA of Passer domesticus (house sparrow), 612 nucleotides long. RefSeq lists it as uncharacterized. The record is from RefSeq and is a predicted model, not a curated record. Lineage: Eukaryota; Metazoa; Chordata; Aves; Passeriformes; Passeridae. The transcript is spliced from 2 exons.